This 496-nucleotide ribosomal RNA is filed under the name uncultured bacterium. RNAcentral's name for it is "partial 16S ribosomal RNA". It matches the Rfam family "Bacterial small subunit ribosomal RNA", at positions 29 to 507 of the family's 1533-position model. The record is from RNAcentral.
AUGCACGCUGGCGGCGUGCCUAAUACAUGCAAGUCGCGCGAACGGACGAGAAGCUUGCCUCUCUGAUGUUAGCGGCGGACGGGUGAGUAACACGUGGAUAACCUACCUAUAAGACUGGGAUAACUUCGGGAAACCGUAGCUAAUACCGGAUAAUAUUUUGAACCGCAUGGUUCAAAAGUGAAAGACGGUCUUGCUGUCACUUAUAGAUGGAUCCGCGCUGCAUUAGCUAGUUGGUAAGGUAACGGCUUACCAAGGCAACGAUGCAUAGCCGACCUGAGAGGGUGAUCGGCCACACUGGAACUGAGACACGGUCCAGACUCCUACGGGAGGCAGCAGUAGGGAAUCUUCCGCAAUGGGCGAAAGCCUGACGGAGCAACGCCGCGUGAGUGAUGAAGGUCUUCGGAUCGUAAAACUCUGUUAUUAGGGAAGAACAUAUGUGUAAGUAACUGUGCACAUCUUGACGGUACCUAAUCAGAAAGCCACGGCUAACUACGUG